This is a long non-coding RNA of Cryptotermes secundus, 1427 nucleotides long. RefSeq lists it as uncharacterized. The transcript has 3 exons. Lineage: Eukaryota; Metazoa; Arthropoda; Insecta; Blattodea; Kalotermitidae. The record is from RefSeq and is a predicted model, not a curated record.
ACCACGAGUCAUGAGGUGGGAACGUUACCUCUAGACUACGGAGGCCGCUUUAACAGAUAUAACUUAACUUGUUUAAAAUUACGAGAACAAAAAUAUACUACUGCUAACACAGGAACAACUUCCAAGCGCUACCAACCAGCCCCGUGAAACUCCCAUGCUAUUGGCUGGCAACAUGGCCGCCAUGACCGCCAUGACCGACCUGAGUUGUAACCCCCGAGACGAAAGAGACCGAUACAGGUGUUUCUUAAUGGUGUGAGAUAUGAACUCCGAGGGUAUGAGGCAUGUACAGGCUAAGCUCGCUGCUUCGUUACAUCUGAAUGCACUGUUCUUCGUGUUCGUCCGUUGUUUGUGGUACGUCUGUGGUACUGUGGGACCGGUUUUGAUGUGAAAGAAAGAAUGAUUAUGUGGAGCAAGGGGAAUGAAAAUUCUAAAGAAGACUGCAUUUUUUGGGAUGUUGCUUGGAUGAGAAAUUAUAAUAACUUCUGUUUUGUACAAGCUACAGAGCUCAUUCGGGGCUUGUAAUCAAGCAUGUGUUAAAUUAUAUAUUCAUCCAGUGGAUCUUCUUGGAUCUGCUUUCUUUAGAACUUCACAAAAAGAAUGCUCAGCAUGUUUGGCGGUUGAGAAUAGAAUGGUGACAAACCAUGAGGAUGGAAAGAGCUGAGUGUUACUUCCACUGAGUUCUCAAUUACUGUCAUGUAUUGUUGUAGCUGUUGAAUGUCUUAUAAAUAAAGAGUUCUUCUCCCAUGACUUUAGUUCAGUAACAGACCCAAAGUUCAUGUUUAGUGUGUUGGUUUGUUGCUAUAUGAAGAGUUAUCUUGGAAUCAUUAUUUGGUCCGUGUAGUGUUCCUGCAGGCUUGUCCCUUUAUGGUUGUCCGUAGGUCUUCACAUGCAGUCUUGCCAUGAGCAGUGACUAUGAAAUGUCAUUCGGUGGUAGGAUCCCCAAAAUCUUCUUCCUGUAGUUAAAUUUAAGAAGUUUAACAAUCGGGUAGUCUGCAGAUCCCUAUAGUUCACCAUUUGCUCUUGUUUUUCUACAUGACUAAAAUGGAUGUGUCUCUGAUCCAAUAAUAAUGACUCCAGUGACACCCUCCAUCCAUACACCUCACUCACCAAUCCUGUAGAACAUAGAGUAUAGUUGAUAGUUUCUUGUCCCCUGUCAGUGAGGGAGGAAGGCUCUUUUCCUUGAUACAGUAACUCUGAAGGGAAAGUAUCCAGGUACUCCAGCAAUGCCGUACCAACAUCUGAACAACUACACAUGAACUCUGAAUCGAAAGUAUCCAGGUACUCCUGCAAUGCCGUACCAACAUUUGAACAACUACACAUGAACUCUGAAUCGAAGGUAUCCAGGUACUCCUGCAAUGCUGUACCAACAUUUGAACAGCUACACAUGACAUGGUAAAAGUUAGCUUCACAUCCCUGUACCAUCAACC